This 914-nucleotide long non-coding RNA is filed under the name Equus caballus (horse). Its description in RNAcentral is "lncRNA (ENSECAG00000043839.1)". Lineage: Eukaryota; Metazoa; Chordata; Mammalia; Perissodactyla; Equidae. The record is from RNAcentral.
CCACCCUACAGUUGCAGAAACUGAGGCUCAGAGUGGGAGCCGUGCUUGGCCAGGGGAACCUGGAAGGAGCUGUGGGCUGAUGCUGGAGUCUGCGUGCCAGCUGGGGGGAGACAGGGCUCUGUGCAGCUGUCAUGGGGACUUCUUGGGGGCACAGGAGGACCAGGGACCUACCUGGACAUGUGAGCAUUGGUGUUCCCGGCUGGAACGUCGCCCUCAGGUCUUAAUCCAUCGAUCCUGCCACCUCUUGUCUGCACCUUCCAUAUCUUUCCCCAAUAGAAUCUCUUCCAAUAGCAAGGAAAUGAAUUCAAGUCUCUCUGGAAUGUUGUCUAUGGCACCAGAGCGUGGCCACAGGUCAAAGGCACUCAUUUGCAAUAUUCAAGUCUCUGGGGACACGGGAGCCUUCCAAUCCUUCACCCUCCUUCAGCCAGGCCCACCGAGGACACUCCGCUGAUCAAGCCAGCCUGGGGUCCUGUCACCUCUCUUUAAGGCUGGGGGAAUCUGGGUCCAGGAGUUCCUGACUUUCUGGUCUUUGGGUCCUGCCCAGCCCUGAGCCCUCCACGCCCCCAGGACAAGACACCAACUCAGAUCCCACUAAGCCUGAGUGGUCACAGGGUCCUCAGGAGGUCUGGGGCAGCCACUUCCUCUGGCCCAUCCCUCCGUGGCCUCCUGGCCCUGCUAUCCCUGCCCUCCACCCCUUGUGGCCACCCCCCUGGGGCACAGGCGGUUUGUCGGACUGUGUUUGGGGUUUGGCCGCAUCUCCUUCUGCUGGAGCGUAAUCUCCCAAGAGUAGGGCGACGUCUUCUUGUCUUCUCGUUGUUUUAUACCAUUCGUGCCUGGCCACAAUGAUAACAGCUACUGUGUUUUUUGGGACUUGCACAGUCGUCCCUCGUAUCUGUGGGGGAUUGGUUUCAGGA